RNAcentral lists this ribosomal RNA (492 nucleotides) under uncultured bacterium. RNAcentral describes it as "partial 16S ribosomal RNA". It matches the Rfam family "Bacterial small subunit ribosomal RNA", at positions 29 to 507 of the family's 1533-position model. The record is from RNAcentral.
AGUGAACGCUGGCGGUAGGCCUAACACAUGCAAGUCGAACGGCAGCACAGUAAGAGCUUGCUCUUACGGGUGGCGAGUGGCGGACGGGUGAGGAAUACAUCGGAAUCUACUUUUUCGUGGGGGAUAGCGUAGGGAAACUUACGCUAAUACCGCAUACGACCUACGGGUGAAAGCAGGGGAUCUUCGGACCUUGCGCGAUUGAAUGAGCCGAUGUCGGAUUAGCUAGUUGGCGGGGUAAAGGCCCACCAAGGCGACGAUCCGUAGCUGGUCUGAGAGGAUGAUCCGCCACACUGGAACUGAGACACGGUCCAGACUCCUACGGGAGGCAGCAGUGGGGAAUAUUGGACAAUGGGGGCAAGCCUGAUACAGCCAUACCGCGUGGGUGAAGAAGGCCUUCGGGUUGUAAAGCCCUUUUGUUGGGAAAGAAAAGCAGCAGGUUAAUACCCCGCUGUUCUGACGGUACCCAAAGAAUAAGCACCGGCUAACUUCGUG